This is a non-coding RNA of Perkinsus marinus ATCC 50983, 73 nucleotides long. Lineage: Eukaryota; Perkinsozoa; Perkinsida; Perkinsidae. The record is from the annotation of a RefSeq genome assembly.
GACACUUUAGCUUAGUGGCAAAGUGUCUGCUUUGUCAGCAGAAGGUCGUCCGUUCAAGCCUGAAGGUAAGUUA